This 237-nucleotide unclassified non-coding RNA is filed under the name Hevea brasiliensis (rubber tree). Lineage: Eukaryota; Viridiplantae; Streptophyta; Magnoliopsida; Malpighiales; Euphorbiaceae. The record is from RNAcentral.
GCUCGAGUACUUCUCGACGAGCACAGAACUCAGAAGAGGCGAGUGCUAGAUCGCGAUCUGCCCCAUCAAUAAGAAUAGGAAGUGGGGUAACAGGAGGAGGUUGAAACGAACCAGGCGAGUUUGAUUCUGCCAUGACCUUGGAGAGGAAAGCUGCGGCAGAGGGGGAGACAGAGAGAGAAGGAAGAGACGGGCGUUUGCCGAUGGAGGGUGGCGGCGUGCGACUGCGGCGGAGAGGAG